AUUGAACGCUGGCGGCAGGCUUAACACAUGCAAGUCGAGCGGGGAAAGGUAGCUUGCUACCGGACCUAGCGGCGGACGGGUGAGUAAUGCUUAGGAAUCUGCCUAUUAGUGGGGGACGACAUCUCGAAAGGGAUGCUAAUACCGCAUACGUCCUAUGGGAGAAAGCAGGGGAUCUUCGGACCUUGCGCUAAUAGAUGAGCCUAAGUCGGAUUAGCUAGUUGGUGGGGUAAAGGCCUACCAAGGCGACGAUCUGUAGCGGGUCUGAGAGGAUGAUCCGCCACACUGGGACUGAGACACGGCCCAGACUCCUACGGGAGGCAGCAGUGGGGAAUAUUGGACAAUGGGGGGAACCCUGAUCCAGCCAUGCCGCGUGUGUGAAGAAGGCCUUAUGGUUGUAAAGCACUUUAAGCGAGGAGGAGGCUACUUUAGUUAAUACCUAGAGAUAGUGGACGUUACUCGCAGAAUAAGCACCGGCUAACUCUGUGCCAGCAGCCGCCGUAA
Molecule: ribosomal RNA, 501 nt
Filed under: uncultured bacterium
Lineage: Bacteria
Description: partial 16S ribosomal RNA
Rfam family: Bacterial small subunit ribosomal RNA
Source: RNAcentral